AGUGAACGCUGGCGGUAGGCCUAACACGUGCAAGUCGAACGGCAGCACAGUAAGGGCUUGCUCUUACGGGUGGCGAGUGGCGGACGGGUGAGGAAUACAUCGGAAUCUACUUUUUCGUGGGGGAUAACGUAGGGAAACUUACGCUAAUACCGCAUACGACCUACGGGUGAAAGCAGGGGAUCUUCGGACCUUGCGCGAUUGAAUGAGCCGAUGUCGGAUUAGCUAGUUGGCGGGGUAAAGGCCCACCAAGGCGACGAUCCGUAGCUGGUCUGAGAGGAUGAUCAGCCACACUGGAACUGAGACACGGUCCAGACUCCUACGGGAGGCAGCAGUGGGGAAUAGUGGACAAUGGGCGCAAGCCUGAUCCAGCCAUACCGCGUGGGUGAAGAAGGCCUUCGGGUUGUAAAGCCCUUUUGUCGGGAAAGAAAAGCAGCAGGUUAAUACCCCGCUGUUCUGACGGUACCCAGAAUAAGCACCGGCUAACUUCGUG
This 490-nucleotide ribosomal RNA is filed under the name uncultured bacterium. RNAcentral's name for it is "partial 16S ribosomal RNA". It matches the Rfam family "Bacterial small subunit ribosomal RNA", at positions 29 to 507 of the family's 1533-position model. The record is from RNAcentral.